UACGGGAGGCAGCAGUGGGGAAUAUUGCACAAUGGGCGAAAGCCUGAUGCAGCUAUGCCGCGUGUAUGAAGAAGGCCUUAGGGUUGUAAAGUACUUUCAUCGGGGAGGAAAAAACAAAACUAAUAAUUUUAUUUCUUGACGUUACCCGAAAAAGAAGCACCGGCUAACUCCGUGCCAGCAGCCGCGGUAAUACGGAGGGUGCUAGCGUUAAUCAGAAUUACUGGGCGUAAAGAGCACGUAGGUGGUUUUUUUAAGUCAGAUGUGAAAUCCCUGGGCUUAAACCUGGAACUGCAUUUUGAAACUGAAAUACUAGAGUAUCGUAGAGGGAGGUAGAAUUCUAGGUGUAGCGGUGAAAUGCGUAGAUAUCUGGAGGAAUACCUGUGGCGAAAGCGGCCUCCUAAACGAAUACUGACACUGAGUGCGAAAGCGUGGGGAGCAAACAGGGAUUAGAUACC
RNAcentral lists this ribosomal RNA (455 nucleotides) under uncultured bacterium. RNAcentral's name for it is "bacterial SSU rRNA". It matches the Rfam family "Bacterial small subunit ribosomal RNA", at positions 340 to 786 of the family's 1533-position model. The record is from RNAcentral.